GUGACCGUGGUGUAACUGGCAACAUACCCAGCUCGUACCUGGGGGUUGCGGGAUCGAAACCCGCCGGUCACCCCA
Molecule: transfer RNA, 75 nt
Filed under: Candidatus Rokubacteria bacterium RIFCSPLOWO2_02_FULL_73_56
Lineage: Bacteria; Candidatus Rokuibacteriota
Description: tRNA-Thr
Rfam family: tRNA
About the family: Transfer RNA (tRNA) molecules are approximately 80 nucleotides in length. Their secondary structure includes four short double-helical elements and three loops (D, anti-codon, and T loops).
Source: RNAcentral